AGAUACCGUUACAUACAUACAUAAACGUGUAUGAAGGCACGUAUUAUGCAAAACCUCACAAUCGAGACACCGGCCGGUAAACACACGAAAUUUAAGCCGACUCUCACACUUUAAACAGUUCGAAAUACACAACAAUAAUAAACAUUUAAAGCAGCCGGAGAGCUUUUUUGUCAUUAAGCACACAAAAAAUUAAUCGAUGGAUAUUAGUGUAAGCGUUAUUUAAGGAUUUUAUGAAAGCUGCACGGACCUUCUAUGUACGUGCACUUACCUCGAAACCAGAAAACGGAAAGACCGAAACCGUCAGAGACAGGCAGUCGGUUGACGAUGAGACCGAGAGACGAUCCGAGCCGAUGCACGAUGAUGCAACGCCGAAUGGCUGACAGAGUAGCCACCAACUGGGGCAAGGGAUAGACAUGGGAUGACAAAAUUGAGAAUUGCGGCAAGAAGAAGAACACUUGAGUUGCCGUUAGCUGUUCGUGGCGGUCAGCUGUUUUCCUUUUAAUGUGUGUAACGAACGUUGAUUUUAUUACGGUGGAAUAUCUAUCCUCGAGCCAGCAUAUUUUAUUGAACGAAUGCUUUCAAAGAAGACAUUCAAACGAUGCUGUUUUGACAGUAUUUUUACACAUAAAUGCUUUCUGUUGAAAAAAGUAUCUAUAGUACUUUGAAAGGUAUCACAUUAAACAAAAAUUGAACUUAAAUCUUCGGUAAUCGGCAAUCUGCCAUUUGUGGUGAAACUUAAAUGGGAAUGAAAAUUUCCCUUCAGUUUAAUCAAAAAUUUCUGUAAUAUACUUUAAUAUAAUCAACACAGAAAUAAAAUUUCUAUCAGAAAUUA
Long non-coding RNA from Drosophila virilis, 832 nucleotides. RefSeq lists it as uncharacterized. The record is from RefSeq and is a predicted model, not a curated record. Lineage: Eukaryota; Metazoa; Arthropoda; Insecta; Diptera; Drosophilidae.